Molecule: long non-coding RNA, 662 nt
Organism: Corapipo altera (White-ruffed manakin)
Lineage: Eukaryota; Metazoa; Chordata; Aves; Passeriformes; Pipridae
Exons: 3
Source: RefSeq, a predicted model, not a curated record
GAAAUACUUCAAAUAAGAGAACAACCAGAACCAAGUAAAAAUACCUCAGCUCUGCUAUGAUUUUUCAGAUGUUAAAGCAAAUAAAAGCAGGUAUGUCCAGAGUGAUCUCCCCUGAGGAGGGAGCAGCUGACAAAGGGUACACUGCACUUUCACUGCAAACACGGUGAAGGAAAGGCAGGAGAUCUGAAGUACAACAGUGGAAGAAAGAGCAUUGAGAAAGCGCAGAUUAUCAAGACCUACAUAUUACUGGAAACUGUGGUAAUAGGAAGAUACUGAAAUAUCACCAAACGGCUUAGAAAAGCAUUUCUUCUGAGUGGCCGCACAGCUGCCUCAAUGCUCUCAAUGCUGAAGGGUGAAAGCACAUGCUCCUAUAGGCAUAAGCAUCCAAACCACAGAUUUUGCUGCUGUACCGAAUCAUGGAUAGGGUUUUUUUUCCCCCAUAGGCUUGGCUGAUUUAGCUAUGCUUGUAAAAGCAUACAGCAGUAUGGACCACAGCAGUCCCACUUCUCGUAGGGAAGGGUCUGGCCUGAUGGAAGGGCAUCGUGGAUGGAGUGCAGGCUGCCCAGCUCCCGUGUGCAGUCAGCAGGGCACAGCUUACAUGUCAUGAAGGGGCCUUGAAAUGUGAAUAAACAAAGUCAGUAGAAGUGCCUGUGUUGGUGAAA